This is a long non-coding RNA of Alligator mississippiensis (American alligator), 1357 nucleotides long. RefSeq lists it as uncharacterized. The transcript is spliced from 3 exons. NCBI's taxonomy places the organism in Eukaryota, Metazoa, Chordata, Crocodylia, Alligatoridae. The record is from RefSeq and is a predicted model, not a curated record.
AAGAUUUCAUAAAUUAAUUAUGUUCAUAAAGCCACACGUGUGGAUCAUUUCCUAAGUUUCCUUGUAAAAUAUUUUAGAAUCCUACCAUCAAAUACAAAAUCAAUGAGAAUAAUAAUUGUAUUUUCUUUCCAUUUAGGAACUUCUGCCAGAUUAUGAUGCUCUGGCAACUACAUACAUACUACAGCAAGUGAUUGUGAACAAACAUAACACCCUCACGAGACAAGUGAAGCCCUCUUCUAGCAACAUGCUGAGGAAGGAAUGGAGUGCUGCUGCACAAGCAAAUGCUAAAAGAUGGGAAGAUGCAUGUACUUUCUCUCAGAGUCCUGAUAGUGAAAGAACAACUACUACAGCAUGUGGUGAAAAUCUCUUCAUGUCAACUGUCUGAACAGCAUGGUCAGAUGUCAUUCAGGCCUGUUAUAAUGAAAGGAAAGACUUUGUGUAUGGCAUUGGGCCAAAUAGACCAGGAGCAAUGAUAGUCCAUUAUACUCAGGUAGGAGACAUAUAACUUAGUACAACCUGAUCUUUACUCAUACAGCUGUACAAUGUCACUAAGGCAGGGGUGAGCAAAAUUCAGCCCGCGGGCUGAAUGUGACCUGCCAGGCCAUUCUAUCUGGCCCGCGGGGCCUAAAAAUUUUAGAAUAUUAAUAUUUAUCUGCCCCUGGCUGCCUCUCAUGUGGCCCUCAAUGGUUUGUCAAAACUCAGUAAGCGGCCUACCCCCCCAAAAAUAAUUGCCUGCCCCUGCACUAAUUGCUCGAGCUCAUCAUUGGCAUUGAUUCUUCCACUUAGGUGCUACAACCUCUAAAAGUUAAGCACCUUGCUUCAGGUGGGUGAUCACAAUUGACAGGGUCAUUUAGACAAGUUAGGGUUCUUGAAUGAGUUAUUUUUUUUUGUGCAGUUGGUUCCCUAAAAGCACUCUACAACUGGGACAUAAAACAUGUGCACAGCUGCAGAGCACUUUUAAAAUAGCUGAUCAUGCAAAAAAUUAAGCCUCGUGAAAUCAGCUCUUAGCUGAAGGCAUUAUAGAACAGAGCAUCAAGGUUUAAAUGUUAACAUCUUUGUGGGGCUGGGCAGGUGCUCACACCCGUGGACAUUGAUUCUGACCAUCCUCACAGGAGAUAAUAUUUUACUUUGUGGUUCCUGCAUCUUGUAAAACAACUUGAGCAAAUUUUUAGAAAAAACAUCCAGGGUUGAUUUAAAGUAUCCACAUACUAACGAUUCUGUUUUGCUAUUUGAGUUUCAUUUGAGUUUCAUUUUUUGUUACGUCCUGUAUGUCCUUCUGCAAAAUAGGGUGUAUAAGAGCAUAUAAUUUUUAUGGUUCCUUUCCUACUUGAUGUGACAUAUUUUCCUAUAUUGCAUA